Sarcophilus harrisii (Tasmanian devil) is the source of this 204-nucleotide long non-coding RNA. RefSeq lists it as uncharacterized. The transcript has 2 exons. Lineage: Eukaryota; Metazoa; Chordata; Mammalia; Dasyuromorphia; Dasyuridae. The record is from RefSeq and is a predicted model, not a curated record.
GGUGGCCCUGAUCAUAAUACACAUAGCGUUAUUGAGGUACAGGAAACUAAAUCAGAUGGUUCUGCUGAGAGAAAUAUUUUUUAUCUUUAUAAACCAAAAAAAAAAUUCCAAACCUUAAUAGAUCAAACAUAAAAAUGCAGAUAUAGCAAAUCAGAAAGCUAAAUUUCAUAAAUAGUACAAACUUCUGUUUGUAUUAUAUUUCUA